GUGGGGUGACUGCGUACCUUUUGUAUAAUGGGUCAGCGACUUAUAUUCUGUAGCAAGGUUAACCGAAUAGGGGAGCCGGAGGGAAACCGAGUCUUAAUUGGGCGUUAAGUUGCAGGGUAUAGACCCGAAACCCGGUGAUCUAGCCAUGGGCAGGUUGAAGGUUGGGUAACACUAACUGGAGGACCGAACCGACUAAUGUUGAAAAAUUAGCGGAUGACCUGUGGCUGGGGGUGAAAGGCCAAUCAAACCGGGAGAUAGCUGGUUCUCCCCGAAAGCUAUUUAGGUAGCGCCUCGUGAAUUCAUCUCCGGGGGUAGAGCACUGUUUCGGCUAGGGGGCCAUCCCGGCUUACCAACCCGAUGCAAACUGCGAAUACCGGAGAAUGUUAUCACGGGAGACACACGGCGGGUGCUAACGUCCGUCGUGAAGAGGGAAACAACCCAGACCGCCAGCUAAGGUCCCAAAGUCAUGGUUAAGUGGGAAACGAUGUGGGAAGGCCCAGACAGCCAGG
This 509-nucleotide ribosomal RNA is filed under the name Salmonella enterica subsp. enterica serovar Gaminara str. A4-567. Its description in RNAcentral is "partial small subunit ribosomal RNA". It matches the Rfam family "Bacterial large subunit ribosomal RNA", at positions 588 to 1097 of the family's 2925-position model. Lineage: Bacteria; Pseudomonadati; Pseudomonadota; Gammaproteobacteria; Enterobacterales; Enterobacteriaceae. The record is from RNAcentral.